Molecule: ribosomal RNA, 622 nt
Filed under: uncultured Alphaproteobacteria bacterium
Lineage: Bacteria; Pseudomonadati; Pseudomonadota; Alphaproteobacteria
Description: bacterial SSU rRNA
Rfam family: Bacterial small subunit ribosomal RNA
Source: RNAcentral
AGAGUUUGAUCAUGGCUCAGAACGAACGCUGGCGGCAGGCCUAACACAUGCAAGUCGAACGAAGCCUUCGGGUUUAGUGGCGGACGGGUGAGUAACGCGUGGGAACGUGCCCUUCUCUACGGAAUAGUCCUGGGAAACUGGGUUUAAUACCGUAUACGCCCUUCGGGGGAAAGAAUUUCGGGGAAGGAUCGGCCCGCGUUGGAUUAGGUAGUUGGUGGGGUAAUGGCCCACCAAGCCGACGAUCCAUAGCUGGUUUGAGAGGAUGAUCAGCCACACUGGGACUGAGACACGGCCCAGACUCCUACGGGAGGCAGCAGUGGGGAAUCUUAGACAAUGGGGGCAACCCUGAUCUAGCCAUGCCGCGUGAGUGACGAAGGCCCUAGGGUCGUAAAGCUCUUUCGCCAGGGAUGAUAAUGACAGUACCUGGUAAAGAAACCCCGGCUAACUCCGUGCCAGCAGCCGCGGUAAUACGGAGGGGGUUAGCGUUGUUCGGAAUUACUGGGCGUAAAGCGCGCGUAGGCGGACUAUUAAGUCAGAGGUGAAAUCCCGGGGCUCAACCCCGGAACUGCCUUUGAUACUGGUAGUCUUGAGUUCGAGAGAGGUGAGUGGAAUUCCGAGUGUA